This 567-nucleotide ribosomal RNA is filed under the name Proteus sp. TRP1-in-E-2. RNAcentral's name for it is "bacterial SSU rRNA". It matches the Rfam family "Bacterial small subunit ribosomal RNA", at positions 356 to 916 of the family's 1533-position model. The record is from RNAcentral. Lineage: Bacteria; Pseudomonadati; Pseudomonadota; Gammaproteobacteria; Enterobacterales; Morganellaceae.
GGGGAAUAUUGCACAAUGGGUCCAAGCCUGAUGCAGCCAUGCCGCGUGUAUGAUGAAGGCCUUAUGGUUGGAAAGUACUUUCUCGCGGAGGAAGGUGUUAAUAUUAAUACUCUUAUCAAUUGACGUUACCCGCAAAGAACGCACCGGCUAACUCCGUGCCAGCAGCCGCGGUAAUACGAAGGGUGCGUGCGUUAAUCGGAAUUACUGGGCGUAAAGCGCACGCAGGCGGUCAAUUAAGUCAGAUGUGAAAGCCCCUAACUUAACUUGGGAAUUGCAUCUGAGACUGGUUGGCUAGAGUCUUGUAUAGGGGGGUAGAAUUCCGCGUGUAUCGGUGAAAUGCAUAUAGAUGUGAAGGAAUACCGGUGGCGAAGGCGGCCCCCUGGACAAAGACUGACACUCACGUGCGAAAGCGUGGGGAACAAAAUUGAUUACAUACCCUGGCAACCCACGCUGUAAACGAUGUCAAUUUAGAGGUUGUGGUCUUGAACCGUGGCUUCUGGAGCUAACGCGUUAAAUCGACCGCCUGGGGAGUACGGACGCAAGGUUAAAACUCAAAUGAAUUGACGG